GAAAAGUCACUUUUCCCCUCACAUACAACCUAGUUGCCAAACAUCAUUUUGGAGCUUAUAACUUUUCAAAAAGCCAAAUCAAGUUGUUUCAAAAAGCUUAGCCAAACAUGACCCUAGAACCCUAACUUGAAUCGCUUCAAUAUCUCGUUCCCUUCAAGCCUAUACAAUAUGUUCCAUCGUUCUCCGUUUACACCAAUCGAAUUGGUUCAGGGAACUCGCUAAAGUGGUUUGGUAACAACAGAGGUGAUUUCAAUAUGCAGGUAUUAUUCUUGACCUAACGUUUUGAUUUGAUUAACAUGCAUAUGGAUACUUCGUUUUGGUCUUUUUCCCAGAGAGGACACGUUAAAAUAUCUAAAGCAUAAGAGGCUACAAUGGAUGAAAUCUGGCACUGUGAAAAAUGCUGCAUUUGUGUCUAACCUAAUUACUCGAAGUGGAGGAGAUGCAUUAUGAGGUUCUACAUCUUGGGCUGAUGGAUAAUUCAACAAUCUGGAUUAUGUUGGAGAUAUAAUAUGUCAAAACCCACGAUUGAAAAGUUUGAUUCAAAUUAUCUUGAUUGGACAGAUAAGGUUCCAAAGUGCCCUAUAUACUUUCCAAGUAAAGAAGAGUUUGAGGAUCCUUUGGUUUAUAUGCAAAAGACAACUUUAGAAGCUUCAAGAUUUGGUAUAUGCAAGAUUGUUUCGCCUUUGAGUGUUCAUUGGUAUAGUGUUGACAAGAGAGAAAGUUGGUUUUAUGUUUACUACAAGAGUGCAACCUCGUCGUCUUGCUGAGUGGAAUACCAAUGAUAAAGUCACCUUCUUCAUGAGUGGAAGGAUUGUUUUCGAAGCCCUAGAUAUCGCAUACAUCUUCCUUCUGGUUGAAGCCUCUUAAAUCCAAACAUUCAAGCAUCAGGGUUUUGAAAAGUGACUGACUGAACACUUCCUAAUUAUGGUUGGAGAGAUGAAUUAAAAAGUCCGGUUAGUGAAGUGCCCAAAAUGCCUGAAUGUUCUGCCAGAGCUGCCAGAUAUUCCGGUGUACGCAUGUGGAGGCUGCGGUACAAGACUUCAAGCAAAGAAGCGGAAUAAAAGUAUCGUCGACACCACAUCACAGAGGCCAGAUGAGGGUUCUUCGGGAAAACAGAAAGUGGACAGCGUUUUUAUUGAUCAAGAAGCUUGCAGCAGCUCGAAUCAACAAUCUCUGCUUAGUUCCAUUGAUGAGUCAGUUCAAAAUGGUGAUCAUAAUGAUCUUAAUUGCUCAAUUAAAGAUCAAGAUGCAGCUGAUAGAGCUGAAAAUGGUACAGUUCCACCACCGACUGUUGUUGUAGAUUGUUCAUCUGAAAAAUUGAAACUGAAGCAAGUUUCUGAUAAUCAAGAACCCUGUUGUAGCUCAAAUCAGCAGUUAGUAGUAAGUUCGAGCGAUGAGCCGGAUCAAAACAUUCAUAAUGAUCCUCGUAGCUCGACUGAGUUUUCGGGUAAUGAAGAUCCACAGUCGUCGCCUGAAGCCAUAACUCAUAAGGGAAUCAAUCAACAACAAGAACAAAUACAAGAACAUGAACAAGAACGCGUUACAGUUGUUGGAGUCGAGCAUUCCUCAGGUAAACAGAAAAUCGAGCAGCUUUCUGCUGAUAAUGAAUCUGGUAACAGAUUUACACAACUAUUGUUGGUUGAUCCAAUGAAUGAGCUAGACCAAAACAAUGAUUGUACUGAACAUCGUAACUCGUCUGAAGAAAAUCAACAAGAAUAUAUCAGAAUAGAUCAACAACAAGAACAUGAACAAAAUCAAAGGCGUUCUCAAGAUGCAGGUAAGCAGCAAGAAAACGUUACAGUUGAUGAACUCGAGCAUUCCUCUGCGAAACAGAAAACCGAGGAGCUUUCUGAUAAGAAUGAAACUGGUAACAGAUUUGCACACCUAUUGUUGGUUAAUCCAAGGUAUGAGCUAGAACGAAACAACGACCAUAAUGAAGAUCGUAGCUCAUCUGAGCUUUCAUAUCAUGACGAGCCAGAGUCAUCACCGGAAGCCACAGUUCAUGACAGAGUCAAAUGAAAAGUGACUGAAUUCGUAAGCUGUAAAAAAGAGUUUGGUGUUAAAGAAAGCAGUAAUGAAUUUGAAAAAACUAUCGCUGAUACGAGAAACUAUCCAAACAUUCAAGCAUCAGGUACAAACAUCUCAUAAGAAAAUCUGUUGCAGUUUGAAGGUCUAUUGUAAAUUUCACAAACAUCUCAUACGAAGAUUUCUCAGGUACUUUCAUUUGUUUGGGUCAACUCCAUUCCAAUUCAUCGUUAUUGGGUUGUUUACACUUUACAUAUGUAGCACCUAUUAUACUGCAGGAGAACUAUUGCAUUCUAUUCUAUUUAUAAAAUUUGUUUCGAAGAAUUAGCGUUUGAAGAACUUUUGAUUGUUAUUGAGGCGAGGAUCGGUAUUGUGAAAUCAUUAUAUUUCCUGCCAUCAAUAAUGCACUGGCUUAAGUCUUUAAUGUUGGCUAGCCAGCUUCGGGAAGAGAUCGCUGGCCACAUGACUGACAUACACGUCUCAAUCUCACUGGUACCCUGCUUAUCUUCAUGCUCCCAUGAUCAGUUCUCCAAACCUUCCUCCGAACAUUUCCGUCGUUAUUCCAUGAGCAGGAAGAUAUUCUCCAUGCCAGUGUUCGUAUAAAUCCAGUUUGGCCCUGUUGGGGAAGACAAAAAUAGUGGUGAAGUGUGUAGACUUUUUGAUGUUGGAGGCCAAGGAAACGAGAGGAAAUGGAUUCAUUUAUUUGAAGGUGCUAGAGCUGUCAUAGUUUGUGUUGCUAUUAGCGAGUAAGAUUAAUUAAACCAGAUGUAUUUGAUAAUAUAAACAUCUCCAUUUAUCUAUUGUGUUCAUGGUUGCAAGUCAUAGAGAUGGCAAAAUGUAUGGGUGUAUCUGUAGACAUGAGGGUACAAAAGGCUUCUGUUGGUUGUGUAUUUUCAUCGUAGACAUUGUUUGCUGGUUUCUUAAGACGAUCAUCUCAGCAUUCAUACAUCUUUAUAUGAUAUUAUUACAAAAAUUAAAGACAAAUGUAUAAUUUAUGAUGUCACAUAUCCAGUAUAACAGCAAUAAUAGGGGACACUAUGUUGUAUUUAUAGACUUGUGAAUUACAAGGCGAAGAGGGGGAUUGGAGUUUGCGGCAGCGUUUCGGGUUAGGUUUCGGGGCUGAAUCGAGAUGUAUGAAUGGUGGGUC
RNAcentral lists this long non-coding RNA (3172 nucleotides) under Helianthus annuus (common sunflower). Lineage: Eukaryota; Viridiplantae; Streptophyta; Magnoliopsida; Asterales; Asteraceae. The record is from RNAcentral.